This 104-nucleotide small nuclear RNA is filed under the name Dasypus novemcinctus (nine-banded armadillo). The record is from RNAcentral. Lineage: Eukaryota; Metazoa; Chordata; Mammalia; Cingulata; Dasypodidae.
CUGCUCGCUUCAGCAGCACAUGCAAUGAAAUUGGAAGGAUACAGAGAUUAGCAUGGCCCCUGUGCAAGGAUGACAUGCAAAGUCGUGAAGCAUUCCAUAUUUUU